This is a non-coding RNA of Physcomitrium patens, 2015 nucleotides long. NCBI's taxonomy places the organism in Eukaryota, Viridiplantae, Streptophyta, Bryopsida, Funariales, Funariaceae. The record is from RefSeq and is a predicted model, not a curated record.
AUGCUCAGCUGCAGCAGCAGCAGCAGCAGCCCAGCAGAUUGCGCGAUCGGGGAAGAAGAAGAAGAAGAAGAAGAGGACCAGAAGGAUUUCACUGCACAUCCUUGUUGAGUUACGUAAUUCCUCGCCUCAGUCUCACUGUUUAUUUUGCUACUUCACCAGCUGCACAGUUGCCCCAACCUUUGAUAUUCUCUGAUUUUGCAAUUGCGUCAGGAGGAUUUGGGUUGCGAUUGAGAUUAGAGCUGGCCAUUCCGGUACAAUUGGAGAAAGGUUGCGUGCGUCGUAGUCAUUUCUGAAAAGCCCCAGAUUAUGGGAGUAAACAUGAAUUUGUGGGAGUCGAGAGUCGGUUUCGGCAACGUCUCUAGAGGGAGAAUAGGGACGUGAAUUGUAGGUGUGGUUGUAACUUUGGAGGCGGUGAUGAAGACAAGCUCGGCGUCGCGAUUGAGAGCCAAGCAGAUGCUCGGGCUUGUCGGAGGUGACGACGUUGCGCUGGGGAAUUAUUUGGACACGCAGCAGAACGGGAUGAUUGUGAGCGGGUCUCCCAAGCAAGUGAUUUACGAUCAUUUUCGCCACUGGAAGUUCCAACUUUGUGGGUCCCGUCAGCGAAGUGCUAUCUUUCGUUGACCUGAUUCUCCCGCAAGUAAGAAGCAAGCAAGUCUACCACGUUCAACGAAAAUGGUGCGUUUCAUGUUCGAUCGCUCAAAUGACAAACUGCUUAUUGUGCUUGGAUUUAUUUAUGCGCUUUCAUCGUGUUCAGUAAUCCUCUUUCUGAUGAUAAUUGCAAGCAUAGACAGCUAACGGGUUUUGUUGAGUGGUGAAGGCGCGUGCAGGGAUAUCGUUUGCUAUCCGGUAUGGUACUAACUUAGAUCAUUGAAAGGUUUUUUGAGCGUCGACGAUGUGACCCUUGGUGACCUUACUGAAGUGAAAGAGAACUGUUUUGAUAAAACAAUCACAACAAAGUUUAAGACAACACACAUUCAACGGGAGAACACACAGAUAGCUUUACUGAAAAGAAUUACACCAAGAUCGAGAUCCGUUCUCUCUCUGUCUUUGAGAGAUCCCACGAUACAGCUUCUAUGCCUACGACACGCUUCUCACCACGAAAAAACUAAGUAAUAUUCCACUUCGAAGAAUCAAGCCACGGCAUCCCACAGACUGCGUUGUUCACACAACCACCGCUCGCUGAAGCUCCUUGAAGCUCCUUGAAGAAUGUAAGAAUUUCAUCCUCUUUGUCAGGAUCUGCAAAUUCCUACAGGGUCUCAAAAGUCUUCGCGAUCGAUCUCGGAGCGAUUGCAUUCCUCUACCUUGUCCAUCCGACUGGUCCUUCGCCCCAUUGUCUCGAGCUUCAUGAAAUCCGUGCCUCGAGGGCGCUGCUCCCUCCGCACCCUCGCAAUAAAUAGAAGAGUUAAUCAAAAGCGUCGCCAAUUCCCUGUGCUUGAUCAUCCGCCGCUACCGCCUCUGCAGACGACAGGACGCCCGUUAGCGCAUUAAUGCGCAGCUCUCCCUUUGCUCCCUAUUAUCUGAGUCAGCAGACUCUGACAGAUGUGUUGCAUUGUGAUCGACUGUGAGUUCAGCAUCUGCUGCUACUUUUCACUCCACACAAUCCAUCAAGAGGAAGAUCUCUAGGAUGAAGUCCUCGUCCGUAGUGUGCACACUCUGCAGCAGGAUCGCCACGGUCGACACAAGCCUUAAUGCUUCAGCAACAGAGACUUUAUCUUCGAACCCCACAGUGGCGGUUGAGCCCGCAGUCCAUGCCUGAAUCUCGCAGAUCUAGAUCUAUAUUUAGAAUACAUGACACAAUACAACAAUCUCCACCUUGUCUUAUGUUCUAUAUAAAUUUGUUCAAUGUAGCAAUUCCUCAAAGUAUUCCCCUACUCACCGCAAUGGGCAUCAACAAGUUACAACACUAAUCAAGUCCAAGCAAAACUUGAACUUCUCACCAGGGACAGACUUCGUCAACAUGUCUGCAGCAUUCUCUCGUGUAUCAACCUUCUGCAAGGAAACUUCUCCUUUAGAAA